This 91-nucleotide small nucleolar RNA is filed under the name Sus scrofa (pig). Its description in RNAcentral is "Small nucleolar RNA SNORD116 (ENSSSCG00070012882.1)". It matches the Rfam family "Small nucleolar RNA SNORD116". From Rfam's summary of the family: HBII-85 is a member of the C/D class of snoRNAs, which contain the C (UGAUGA) and D (CUGA) box motifs. HBII-85 is encoded in a tandemly repeated array with another C/D snoRNA, HBII-52, in the Prader-Willi syndrome (PWS) region of chromosome 15. Unlike most other snoRNAs, HBII-85 is expressed prevalently in the brain (but is absent in PWS patients) and lacks any significant complementarity with ribosomal RNA. Lineage: Eukaryota; Metazoa; Chordata; Mammalia; Artiodactyla; Suidae. The record is from RNAcentral.
GGAUCGAUGAUGACACCCACAACGCAUUCCUUGGAAAUCUGAACAAAAUGAGUGAGAACUCACUACGUCUCCUCAUCGCAAACUGAGGUCC